GCCAGGGUGGUGAAAUGGCAGACACGACGGCCUUAGGAGCCGUUGGGGGAAACCCCGUCCGGGUUCAAGUCCCGGCCCUGGCA
RNAcentral lists this transfer RNA (83 nucleotides) under Gemmatimonadales bacterium. RNAcentral describes it as "tRNA-Leu". It matches the Rfam family "tRNA". Rfam says of the family: Transfer RNA (tRNA) molecules are approximately 80 nucleotides in length. Lineage: Bacteria; Pseudomonadati; Gemmatimonadota; Gemmatimonadia; Gemmatimonadales. The record is from RNAcentral. RNAcentral also lists the same sequence under 1 other name.